AGGCCCCUUCCUUGCCUCUUCCAGCUUCUGGUGGCCCCAGGCCAUCCCUGGCUUGCAGAUACGUGGCUCCCAUCUCUGCCUCGGUCUUCACAUGGGGCCUCCCGUCUAUGUCUCUCUGUGUGUCCCGUCCUCUUUUUACAGGGACACCAGUCAUUGGAUAAGGGCUAAUGAUCCUAAUCCAGUGUGAGCUCAUCUUAAUUAAUUACAUCUGCAAAUGCCCCAUCUCCAGUUGCAGAGUCAAACCCAUCCUGGUAUCAACCUGCUUUUAGUACUUCCAGAUUCGUAAGUCAAGAAAUCCUCCUUCCUGCUUGUACCAGUUGGCAGUGGGUUUUCUGGCAUUUGUACCUGCAACCACCAUUCUACUCUCUGUUUGAAUGAGUUUGAAACAUCCACAUCUGAGUGAGGUCAAUGCCGGUGAACAGAGAGACAGAGGGAAAGAAUUUCAGAAUAUCCUUAAAAAUCGCAGCACCUGGCAGAUCCUGCCUCACACCUCAAGGGCCUGUGUGGGGUCCUAGGUUCAUCCCUGAUCCAUCUCAGAGGUGCGGCGAUCACUGAUCCAUCUCGGAGACUUUUGAGCUUGGACCUGACAUUUGCCACUUCCUCUCCUCCUCACUGGAGACAGAGUGCAAUCUGUUUCUGCAAAGCAAGAGCACUUUAAGAGGGUGGAAGGGCACUCAUCUGUGUCAGGGUCAUGUCUGUGUGCAGAUCCCCCAAGGUCAUUGUUGAGAGAAAGGGGAAGAUGUUGGGGAGGCCGGGCAAGCAUGUGCCGGCUACCCUCACACUUGCACAUAGCAUAUGUCAAGUCACCUAAAGGAAACCUGAAUGAUAUGAUCAGAGACUCUGCAUAGGAUUACUUACUGGUGGUGCCCUGGGUUGAACACAGAGGUCGCCAAAGCAGGACCAGCCAUCAUGGCGAUAGAGGCCCCAUGCAGAUAAACCCUGUGCAUGAAAAACCUAGGAUUUUAGAACAAAUUGAGAAGGAGGUCAGGCAUUCAAGACCAGCCUGGCCAACAUGGUGAAACCCCGUCUCUACUAAAAAUA
RNAcentral lists this long non-coding RNA (1041 nucleotides) under Homo sapiens (human). RNAcentral's name for it is "HSALNT0342203". The record is from RNAcentral. Lineage: Eukaryota; Metazoa; Chordata; Mammalia; Primates; Hominidae.